RNAcentral lists this ribosomal RNA (260 nucleotides) under uncultured bacterium. RNAcentral describes it as "partial 16S ribosomal RNA". It matches the Rfam family "Bacterial small subunit ribosomal RNA", at positions 335 to 613 of the family's 1533-position model. The record is from RNAcentral.
UACCUACGGGGGGCAGCAGUGGGGAAUAUUGCACAAUGGGGGAAACCCUGAUGCAGCGACGCCGCGUGAAGGAAGAAGUAUUUCGGUAUGUAAACUUCUAUCAGCAGGGAAGAAAAUGACGGUACCUGACUAAGAAUCCCCGGCUAACUACGUGCCAGCAGCCGCGGUAAUACGUAGGGGGCAAGCGUUAUCCGGAUUUACUGGGUGUAAAGGGAGCGUAGGCGGUUUAGCAAGUCAGAAGUGAAAUCCCGGGGCUCACC